RNAcentral lists this small nucleolar RNA (175 nucleotides) under Babjeviella inositovora NRRL Y-12698. The record is from RNAcentral. Lineage: Eukaryota; Fungi; Ascomycota; Pichiomycetes; Serinales.
CCCCGGAAUGAUAACUGGAUGGUUUGAUCGGUUUCAGACUUUUUCAUAGUCUGGGAGUGUUAUCAGUCCCUUACUGUCUUUUAAUUUUCCGGCAGAAUAGCUUGUCUGUGGAAUCGCUUCUUACACGGUGCUGGUCAAUAAUGAUGCCAGGACCGUUUACUUUUCCUCCACAUCU